This 246-nucleotide ribosomal RNA is filed under the name uncultured bacterium. RNAcentral's name for it is "partial 16S ribosomal RNA". It matches the Rfam family "Bacterial small subunit ribosomal RNA", at positions 523 to 769 of the family's 1533-position model. The record is from RNAcentral.
AUACGUAGGGGGCUAGCGUUAUCCGGAUUUACUGGGCGUAAAGGGUGCGUAGGUGGUUUCUUAAGUCAGGAGUGAAAGGCUACGGCUUAACCGUAGUAAGCUCUUGAAACUGGGAAACUUGAGUGCAGGAGAGGAAAGUGGAAUUCCUAGUGUAGCGGUGAAAUGCGUAGAUAUUAGGAGGAACACCAGUAGCGAAGGCGGCUUUCUGGACUGUAACUGACACUCAUGUGCGAAAGCCAGGGCAGC